GCCCGAAAGUCGCGUACCGUCAUUUCUGUGCCACACGAACGCAACACAACAAUGGACAUGGAGGCGAUGGUUCACCUGCUGCUCGGUCUGUGGCAUUCUGCCUGAUUCAAAGUAAUAGAAGAGUCGGAGAAAGCUGAGAGCGGCGAGUCGAAACACUGAGGAGACACACAGGAGAGUUUGGGAGGCGAUGCAGCAGUAUCAAGCCGAAGACAAGAGGAUAUGAACGAGACGACAUAUGAGGAUGCUCUCUGAUGAGACUUCAUGGGAUUUACCUGAAGCAGCAGCACAUGAGCCUGCAGUGGCACAAGGUGUAGAGGAGGAGGACAGAGAUGUACAGGAUGCACUGAUGCACUACGUGUCAUGCAAAAGUUAAGUUAUUCUUCUUGUUAUACUUCUGUUUUUCUGUCCCCGGACCGCUAUUGUUUGCUUGAAUGCAAUUCUGACAAUAAACUUUUGUACCUUUUGCA
This is a long non-coding RNA of Amphiprion ocellaris (clown anemonefish), 467 nucleotides long. RefSeq lists it as uncharacterized. Lineage: Eukaryota; Metazoa; Chordata; Actinopteri; Pomacentridae. The record is from RefSeq and is a predicted model, not a curated record. The transcript is spliced from 2 exons.